Molecule: long non-coding RNA, 1555 nt
Organism: Vitis vinifera (wine grape)
Lineage: Eukaryota; Viridiplantae; Streptophyta; Magnoliopsida; Vitales; Vitaceae
Exons: 3
Source: RefSeq, a predicted model, not a curated record
GUAAUAAAAGAAAAUGCUAAAAAUAAAAGAAAAAAUAAUACAUCUCAUCUAAUGAUGUGUAACAGUCUUCCUAGUGGAGAUUGCUUAGAAAACAAACAACAACCAAAAAAUCAAAAUGGAGAUUCUAUUUGAAAAUGAAUCCCUAGUCCCACCUUGCAAAUUAACUUGUGUUUGAACAUUUGUUGUCAUUUUUUUAUUAAUUUUUUAGAAUAAUGAGACAAGAAAUGAAAAUGAAAAAUCCGUUUUAAAUUUAUUUUUCCUUGCUACAUGGAGUGGAACCAAAAGCCUCACCAACCUCUUACGCUGAAAAAGAUAUUCCAAUCUUUGAAUUCAUUCCACAAAAGAAGAAAAGAGAAUUGCAUCGAUACUCCCCUUUGCAGCUCUUACCCCCAAAGCUGUGUCCUCACUCUUGACCAUCCUCCCACUUGUUACAGUGGGCAACAUGAAAAGAAAAACAGCAAUGCAGCAUGAGAAAGAAAAGCCUCCCGCUAACAGUAAGAAACAAUGAAUACAAAACCAUAAACAGUCAAAAAAGAUAAGAGGCCACUCUCUCCUUUAUGAGUGAUGAGGCAAAAGCAAAAGAAAAACAAGUGUUAGUGGGGGGAGGCAUGGGCAUGAUUGUUUGUACCUCCUUAUACACUCCCCAUCCAUCUUUUCCCCCAACCCCACCUCUCAAACAACACCCCUAUCAUCCCACACUCUUAUUUCUGUGUUUGCCAUUAGAUCAUGUGCUUUUGAUCUGAUGCCAAUUGAUGAAAAAGCCCACAUAGGCCCUGGAGCUGGCUAAGAGGGCAGAGAGAGGUUGUUCCCAAGUCCCACCUUGUUGUCUGUACUCCUGGCGGCGUCGGCGCAAAGCAGGUGCACUGCUUUGGUGUGCUCUUGCUAUGCACCAUCAAGGAAUUCUGGCAACCCCAUCCAGGACAACAAGAAGAAGAAGCAAUCAGGGGCAGGAGGAGAAGUUGAUAAUCAUGAAUUACAAGGUCAAGGCGACAGUACUGGGAGCUGUGGGUCUGAUGGGCCUCUCAAGAGCAAUCUCAAGAAAACUACAUUAGUACUGGGGGAGAAUCAGCUGAGGACAGCAAAGAGGAAAGUUACUUGGCCUGAUUCUCAGGGUCAAGAUAUUGCUCAUGUCCAAGAAUUCGAACCCAGUGUGUUGGAAGAUGGGGAACUUGAGGGAGUUAGGAACUCCUGCAUUUGUGCAAUUCAAUGAAACAAGAAGAAGCUGAAGAUGUAUCUCUCUCCAAAUUUGUCAUCUUCAAAAUUGCUCAAAUUGGAAAAGCAUAGAAGGUAGUAAUUAAUAUCUGCAUUAGACUGAUCAGGGUAGCAAAAUUGCAUAAGAAGUUGAUGAACUUGGUUUCAAGGCUGUAAACACCACUGGGUUGUCUGACUUAACCCCCAAUUUAAGUUUUCAGUACUAAAUAUUGAAAAGCAAGAAACAUGUUCAAAAUUAACUAUAAUCAAGAUGAUAUUAAUUAUAAUAUAUAUAUAUAUAUAUAUAUAUAUAUAUAUAUAUAUAUAUAUAUAUAUAUAUAUAAACCUAGAAGUUGAUCCUCAU